This 301-nucleotide ribosomal RNA is filed under the name uncultured bacterium. RNAcentral describes it as "partial 16S ribosomal RNA". It matches the Rfam family "Bacterial small subunit ribosomal RNA", at positions 509 to 807 of the family's 1533-position model. The record is from RNAcentral.
CAGUCGCCGCGGUAAUACAGAGGGUGCAAGCGUUAAUCGGAAUUACUGGGCGUAAAGCGCGCGUAGGUGGUUUGUUAAGUUGGAUGUGAAAUCCCCGGGCUCAACCUGGGAACUGCAUCCAAAACUGGCAAGCUAGAGUAUGGUAGAGGGUGGUGGAAUUUCCUGUGUAGCGGUGAAAUGCGUAGAUAUAGGAAGGAACACCAGUGGCGAAGGCGACCACCUGGACUGAUACUGACACUGAGGUGCGAAAGCGUGGGGAGCAAACAGGAUUAGAUACCCGCGUAGUCCCUGUCUCUUAUAC